CGCUGUUGUCAGCCUGCUGUGGCAGAGACAUUUCAUUAGGUCUCAUUAUUCUUUCAAAAUACUUUUUUUCCACCGCCUUCCUUUACCUAAAACGCUCCUUACUCUCUUGUGCACCACGAAAAACAGCGUGCGGUAAUCGCUGCACACCUCAUCGCGCUCGUUCGGUUCCCAGCUUUAAUCAGGAUUAGGUCUCAGUUUCGCCUUCAGGUUUCAAACUGCUCCCUUUGCAGCCUGCCUCCAAAACCCCUCUCUGAUCCCUGAAAAGCAAAGGAGAAAACUCGAUCCGGAGAAAACCAUGAGCACCGCAUCUUCCCGGCCCUUUCCUCACCUAGACAAAAUCACGACGGGAACGACACACGAGGGGCAGAAAACCCGCAGAAACCCGCCGAGCAAUCUGGGCUCCAGAGGGUGGUUUCAGGAGCCUAGAGGUGCGGGGUGCCGCUGCCGAGAGCCUCCCUGCUGCCGUCCCACCCUGAGCGCUCCGCUGUUUCCCGGAGUGUGUGUCUGACCCUCCAGCCCGCACCCCCUCUCCAAGAUGAAAA
Molecule: long non-coding RNA, 542 nt
Filed under: Parus major (Great Tit)
Lineage: Eukaryota; Metazoa; Chordata; Aves; Passeriformes; Paridae
Description: lncRNA (ENSPMJG00000010899.1)
Source: RNAcentral